GACGAACGCUGGCGGUGUGCCUAACACAUGCAAGUCGAGCGGACCUUUCGGGGUCAGCGGCGGACGGGUGAGUAACACGUGGGCAAUCUGCCCGAUACUCUGGGAUAACGCUUGGAAACGAGUGCUAAUACCGGAUGGUCUUCUUGGCCGCAUGGCCGAAAAGGAAAAGACGCGUUCGCGUCGGUGUCGGAUGAGCCCGCGGCGCAUUAGCUAGUUGGUGAGGUAACGGCCCACCAAGGCGACGAUGCGUAGCCGACCUGAGAGGGUGACCGGCCACACUGGGACUGAGACACGGCCCAG
Molecule: ribosomal RNA, 300 nt
Filed under: uncultured Alicyclobacillus sp.
Lineage: Bacteria; Bacillati; Bacillota; Bacilli; Caryophanales; Alicyclobacillaceae
Description: bacterial SSU rRNA
Rfam family: Bacterial small subunit ribosomal RNA
Source: RNAcentral